CGGGGCGUGGCGCAGCUUGGUAGCGCGCUUCGUUCGGGACGAAGAGGUCGCUGGUUCGAAUCCAGCCGCCCCGACCA
RNAcentral lists this transfer RNA (77 nucleotides) under Myxococcota bacterium. RNAcentral describes it as "tRNA-Pro". It matches the Rfam family "tRNA". From Rfam's summary of the family: Transfer RNA (tRNA) molecules are approximately 80 nucleotides in length. Their secondary structure includes four short double-helical elements and three loops (D, anti-codon, and T loops). The record is from RNAcentral. Lineage: Bacteria; Pseudomonadati; Myxococcota.